Molecule: non-coding RNA, 78 nt
Organism: Trichonephila clavipes
Lineage: Eukaryota; Metazoa; Arthropoda; Arachnida; Araneae; Nephilidae
Source: the annotation of a GenBank genome assembly
GUCAGGAUGGCCGAGCGGUCUAAGGCGCCAGAUUUAAGUUCUCGAAAGAGAGCGUGGGUUCGAACCCCACUCCUGACA